RNAcentral lists this RNase P RNA (314 nucleotides) under Candidatus Micrarchaeota archaeon CG1_02_55_41. RNAcentral's name for it is "RNase P RNA component". It matches the Rfam family "Archaeal RNase P". From Rfam's summary of the family: Ribonuclease P (RNase P) is a ubiquitous endoribonuclease, found in archaea, bacteria and eukarya as well as chloroplasts and mitochondria. Lineage: Archaea; Nanobdellati; Microcaldota. The record is from RNAcentral. RNAcentral also lists the same sequence under 3 other names.
GGUUGCGGGUGCACGGCUGUCGUUGCCCAGCCCCUUCAAGAGGGCGGGUGAUGGGGAAGUUCCACCCACUCCGUUUGGAGUCGUUCACGCGAGUGAAAGCGUUUAGGGCGCUGGCGCGGGGAGCAGAAACGAUUACCCCGCCCCGUAAGAGGGUGAACCCGUUUGCAGGGGGACGUUUCGGGGCAGAGGGGUUGAAACGGCUUCGUGCCCGGCUGGAGUGCAAGGCCUUAGUUCGCGACGCGAAAGCGUUCGCGGGAGGAAGCCGCUUAGUCCAAUGCCGUGGACAACAAAAGGUGGACUACGGCCCGCUCGCC